UCACGUGAACAGGUUUUGGUGUGAUGCAGAUAAAUCACAUAAAUGAGAUUAUUUUAGUAGAAAUAAACCUUGGGUUGGGCUUUAUACAUGUUGGGCCU
Long non-coding RNA from Telopea speciosissima, 98 nucleotides. RefSeq lists it as uncharacterized. The transcript has 3 exons. NCBI's taxonomy places the organism in Eukaryota, Viridiplantae, Streptophyta, Magnoliopsida, Proteales, Proteaceae. The record is from RefSeq and is a predicted model, not a curated record.